Molecule: long non-coding RNA, 1342 nt
Organism: Aphis gossypii (cotton aphid)
Lineage: Eukaryota; Metazoa; Arthropoda; Insecta; Hemiptera; Aphididae
Exons: 2
Source: RefSeq, a predicted model, not a curated record
CAUAAAUCUUAGUUCAUGAUUCAAGUCAGUACUUAAUUUAAUUUAGCUAUGUUUAAAUUGAUAAAAUACACAGAGGAUUCAUAAGUUCCGUUGGUCGUCAAAGGAAGAUAAUAACGUUUUGAAUGUUUUGAGCGAUCAUUGUUGGCUAGUAUGGUUUUAUUUAAUCUGUGGUAUAAUAUUGUUUUAUAAUAAUUAGGUAUUUCACCAUAGUUUCAAUAAAUAACAACGAUGGAACAUUCAGUCGAGUUUUUAUUAGCGUACAGAGCACAUCACGUAUAAUUUUUGUAACAAAAAAAUCUAUCGCAUUUGGCACGUUCUUGACACGUCACGUCAUCGUCGGCAUUUUUUAGAACGGCUCACGUUCACUCGGUCGCCUUUGCACAAUACAAUCGGCUGAUCGGCUAAGCGCCCCAUCGACGGACUCUGCGUUCUCAAAUACGACAAACCCGUACUAGGUCGGCUUUCGAUUCCGGUCGACUCCUCGUUUGAUCAGCACCCUCAAAACUUGUACCGUAACGGGUGAAUGUUUUUCGAAGGUGUUCCUAUUACUUACCGAGGCCGUCAAAAAGCCGACAUACAGGUGAUUUUCGUUCGAGGUCUGGUCUUCCACGCCCAACCUUUCGUCUGCGGCUCGGCGACAGCACGUUUCGCGAUUACCACGGAAGCGACCACGGUGGACUCAACCACAAAAGAUUGUGAACCUCUCCGUCGUUGGUAUUCUUGUCUAUGGUCGUCGCCAUGACCAGUGACCGGUCAGACGGGCACCGGACCGUUUCUACGGACUGGAAACUCGUCGUGGCCGGUCGGUCUCCGGUGCCGCCGCGUUCUCCAACAGCCCGCAAAUCCGCGGCCGGAACAGUGGCCAUGUUUCUCGGCCCGUCUACGUGACGGUAUAUCGCGUCCUCCGCAAAGAAUCGCCUGUUGUGGUCCUCCGGCGUGUUGUACCGUGCCGUAUAAUAUUCACCCACAAGCGUGAAGCCGCCGCCGUUACACAAUGCUACACACGGGCACACGGCGAGAACGGGUAAUUCUUAACCGAUUAAGAACUGGACACGGAAGCUGGUGUGGACAUAUGAUGUUCAAAUGGAAAUUAAAGGACAGCCCAGAGUGUGAUUGUGGAAAUGGCAGCCAGAAUAAUAUGAGACAUAUUACAGACGAAUGCCCGAAUAGAAGGUUUGAGUUGGGCAUUAAUGGCAUUAAUGAAGUUACGAAAGAAGCAUUUGAAUGGAUAAGGGACUUGGACAUAGAAAUCUAGAUUUGACUGAAUACUAUAUUAUUAUAAUGUAUGUUACUGUGUUAUUGUUGCCAUACGAAUAAAAAAAUUACUAAAUCCUAUAAAAAA